UACGGAGGGUGCAAGCGUUAAUCGGAAUUACUGGGCGUAAAGCGCGCGUAGGUGGUUUGUUAAGUUAGAUGUGAAAGCCCCGGGCUUAACCUGGGAACUGCAUUUAAAACUGGCUAACUAGAGUAUGGUAGAGGGAAGUGGAAUUCCACAUGUAGCGGUGAAAUGCGUAGAGAUGUGGAGGAACAUCAGUGGCGAAGGCGACUUCCUGGACCAAUACUGACACUGAGGUGCGAAAGCGUGGGGAGCAAACAGG
Molecule: ribosomal RNA, 253 nt
Filed under: uncultured bacterium
Lineage: Bacteria
Description: partial 16S ribosomal RNA
Rfam family: Bacterial small subunit ribosomal RNA
Source: RNAcentral